GGGCCCGCACAAGCGGUGGAGCAUGUGGUUUAAUUCGAUGAUACGCGAGGAACCUUACCUAGGCUAUAAUGUGAGUGAUCGGUGCUGAAAGGCACUUUUCCUUCGGGACACGAAACAAGGUGCUGCAUGGUUGUCGUCAGCUCGUGCCGUGAGGUGUCGGGUUAAGUCCCAUAACGAGCGCAACCCCUAUCUUUAGUUGCCAGCGGUUCGGCCGGGGACUCUAAAGAAACUGCCCGCGCAAGCGGUGAGGAAGGUGGGGAUGACGUCAAAUCAUCACGGCCCUUACGUCUUGGGCUACACACGUGCUACAAUGGUAGUGACAAUGGGCAGCCACUCCGCGAGGAGGCGCAAAUCCACAAACACUAUCUCAGUUCGGAUCGGAGUCUGCAACUCGACUCCGUG
This 402-nucleotide ribosomal RNA is filed under the name uncultured bacterium. RNAcentral's name for it is "bacterial SSU rRNA". It matches the Rfam family "Bacterial small subunit ribosomal RNA", at positions 917 to 1322 of the family's 1533-position model. The record is from RNAcentral.